RNAcentral lists this ribosomal RNA (465 nucleotides) under uncultured bacterium. RNAcentral's name for it is "partial 16S ribosomal RNA". It matches the Rfam family "Bacterial small subunit ribosomal RNA", at positions 28 to 507 of the family's 1533-position model. The record is from RNAcentral.
GACGAACGCUGGCGGCGUGCUUAACACAUGCAAGUCGAACGCUGAACCCGCUUCGGUGGGGGAUGAGUGGCGAACGGGUGAGUAACACGUGGGCAACCUGCCCCCGGCUCUGGGAUAACUACAAGAAAUUGGGGCUAAUACUGGUUGCGACUGCUGGCCGCAUGGUCUGGUGGUGGAAAGGGUUUCCGCAUGGGGAUGGUUCCGCGGUCAACCCGCUUGUUGGUGGGGUAGUGGUCUACCAAGGCGACGACGGGUAGCCGGCCUGAGAGGGUGACCGGCCACACUGGGACUGAGACGCCGCCCGUACGCCUACGGGAGGCAGCGGUGAGGGAUAUUGCGCAAUGGGCGGAGGCCUGACACAGGGACGCCGGGCGGGGGAUGACGGCCUUCAGGUUGUAAACCUCUUUCAGCAGGAAAGAUGCGCAAGUGACGGUACCUGCAGAGGAAGCACCGGCCAACUACGUG